UACUUAACUCCGCCUGUAGCUCUUCUCGAGUUACUGCCGGUUCCAAGCCCGGGUAAUGGAGGAGGGUUGUG
Schistosoma mansoni is the source of this 71-nucleotide non-coding RNA. NCBI's taxonomy places the organism in Eukaryota, Metazoa, Platyhelminthes, Trematoda, Strigeidida, Schistosomatidae. The record is from Rfam.